Molecule: ribosomal RNA, 386 nt
Filed under: uncultured bacterium
Lineage: Bacteria
Description: partial 16S ribosomal RNA
Rfam family: Bacterial small subunit ribosomal RNA
Source: RNAcentral
CCUACGGGAGGCAGCAGUGAGGAAUAUUGGUCAAUGGACGAGAGUCUGAACCAGCCACGUAGCGUGAAGGAUGACUGCCCUAUGGUUUGUAAACUUCUUUUAUAAAGGAAUAAAACGAGGCACGUGUGCCUUUUUGCAUGUACUUUAUGAAUAAGGCUCGGCUAACUCCGUGCCAGCAGCAGCGGUAAUACGGAGUAUCCGAGCGUUAUCCGGAUUUAUUGGGUUUAAAGGGAGCGUAGAUGGGUUUUUAAGUCAGUUGUGAAAGGUUUGGGCUUAACCAUAAAAUUGCAAUUGAUACUGGCAGUCUAGAGGAAAGGUGAGGUAGGGGGAAUUCGUGGGGUAGGGGUGAAAUGCGUAGAGAUCAAGAAGAACCCCGAGUGCGAAGG